This 1346-nucleotide ribosomal RNA is filed under the name uncultured bacterium. RNAcentral describes it as "bacterial SSU rRNA". It matches the Rfam family "Bacterial small subunit ribosomal RNA", at positions 28 to 1381 of the family's 1533-position model. The record is from RNAcentral.
GACGAACGCUGGCGGCGUGCUUAACACAUGCAAGUCGAACGGAAAGGCCCUGCUUUUGUGGGGUGCUCGAGUGGCGAACGGGUGAGUAACACGUGAGUAACCUGCCCUUGACUUUGGGAUAACUUCAGGAAACUGGGGCUAAUACCGGAUAGGAGCUCCUGCUGCAUGGUGGGGGUUGGAAAGUUUCGGCGGUUGGGGAUGGACUCGCGGCUUAUCAGCUUGUUGGUGGGGUAGUGGCUUACCAAGGCUUUGACGGGUAGCCGGCCUGAGAGGGUGACCGGCCACAUUGGGACUGAGAUACGGCCCAGACUCCUACGGGAGGCAGCAGUGGGGAAUAUUGCACAAUGGGCGGAAGCCUGAUGCAGCAACGCCGCGUGCGGGAUGACGGCCUUCGGGUUGUAAACCGCUUUCGCCUGUGACGAAGCGUGAGUGACGGUAAUGGGUAAAGAAGCACCGGCUAACUACGUGCCAGCAGCCGCGGUGAUACGUAGGGUGCGAGCGUUGUCCGGAUUUAUUGGGCGUAAAGGGCUCGUAGGUGGUUGAUCGCGUCGGAAGUGUAAUCUUGGGGCUUAACCCUGAGCGUGCUUUCGAUACGGGUUGACUUGAGGAAGGUAGGGGAGAAUGGAAUUCCUGGUGGAGCGGUGGAAUGCGCAGAUAUCAGGAGGAACACCAGUGGCGAAGGCGGUUCUCUGGGCCUUUCCUGACGCUGAGGAGCGAAAGCGUGGGGAGCGAACAGGCUUAGAUACCCUGGUAGUCCACGCUGUAAACGGUGGGUACUAGGUGUGGGGUCCAUUCCACGGGUUCCGUGCCGUAGCUAACGCUUUAAGUACCCCGCCUGGGGAGUACGGCCGCAAGGCUAAAACUCAAAGGAAUUGACGGGGCCCCGCACAAGCGGCGGAGCAUGCGGAUUAAUUCGAUGCAACGCGUAGAACCUUACCUGGGUUUGACAUGGAUCGGGAGCGCUCAGAGAUGGGUGUGCCUCUUUUGGGGUCGGUUCACAGGUGGUGCAUGGCUGUCGUCAGCUCGUGUCGUGAGAUGUUGGGUUAAGUCCCGCAACGAGCGCAACCCUUGUUCACUGUUGCCAGCACGUUAUGGUGGGGACUCAGUGGAGACCGCCGGGGUCAACUCGGAGGAAGGUGGGGAUGACGUCAAGUCAUCAUGCCCCUCAUGUCCAGGGCUUCACGCAUGCUACAAUGGCUGGUACAGAGAGUGGCGAGCCUGUGAGGGUGAGCGAAUCUCGGAAAGCCGGUCUCAGUUCGGAUUGGGGUCUGCAACUCGACCUCAUGAAGUCGGAGUCGCUAGUAAUCGCAGAUCAGCAACGCUGCGGUGAAUACGUUCCCGGGGCU